UAGGUCUGAUGGUUCUGUUUACAUCCGUCUUCACGAGAGGUUUGCCUGUCUCGCUUGUGCAGAAAACAUUGCUCCAGAUCCAAUCGACUGGGUUUCUGUCCCUUCGCCUAGUUUUUAAGGUUAUUUAUUUAAAUGUCUAAUGUAUUUUAUUGUAACAGACAUUGUUUUGCCAACAUUGCCUAUUCAAUGGCACUUCACAAUCUAGUUUAAAAGAAAAAUAAAACAUUUUAAAAAAUUGAGUGAAAAAUCUUUCAGCAAAUUAUGUAUCACAUCAUAGUAAUGCAUUAAUAUGAUUGGUAAUAGG
Molecule: long non-coding RNA, 304 nt
Filed under: Androctonus crassicauda
Lineage: Eukaryota; Metazoa; Arthropoda; Arachnida; Scorpiones; Buthidae
Source: RNAcentral